RNAcentral lists this ribosomal RNA (1167 nucleotides) under Chrysis cessata. Its description in RNAcentral is "partial 16S ribosomal RNA". The record is from RNAcentral. Lineage: Eukaryota; Metazoa; Arthropoda; Insecta; Hymenoptera; Chrysididae.
AUUUAAAAUUAUUUUAAAAUUUUUAGUAAAAAAUUAAUUUUAAAUAAAGAUAUAGAAAUUUAAAAUUUUUAGUAUAAAUUAGAAAAAAUAAAUUAUAAGUAUUUAAUUGUAAAAGAAAUUUAAAAUUUAAUAAAGAUGAUUUAGAUUAUUGUACCUUUUGUAUCAGGGGUUAUUAAAAUAAAGUAUUAAAAUUAAUAUAUCUCGAAUUAAAAAGAGUUAAUUUAAAAUUAUAGUUAAUGUUGAAAAAUUAUUAUAAAUUUUAAGUUUGAAGUGAAAUGUUAUUCGAUUUUUAAGAUAUCUAGUUUUUUAAUAAUAAAAUUUAAUUUUUUUAUAAAUUUAAUUAUUAAUUAUUAAAAAUUUUUAAUUAUUUUAUAAUGAAGGAUUAAUGGGAUUAACUAUUAAUUUAAAUUAAAUAAUUUUUAGUUAGUUAAAAUUUAGAGAUUAAAAUUUUUAAAAUUUAAGAGUUUAUAGUAAUUUAUUAAUUUAGUAAAAUUUAAUUUUUAAAUUUAUUAAUUUAUUAUUAAAAUAAAUUUAUGAAUUUAAACUGAGUAGAAAUAAUGAUAAUAUUAGUAUAAAAGUAUGUUAAGUUAAUUAAAUUAUUAAAUUAAUUUAAGGAAUUAGGCAAAAUUUAAAAUUCACUUGUUUAUCAAAAACAUGUUUUUUUGAUUAUUAAUAAAAAAUUUUCUCUGCCCAAUGAUUAAUUGAAUGGCCGCAGUAUUUUGACUGUGCAAAGGUAGCAUAAUAAAUAGUUUUUUAAUUGAAGACUAGAAUGAAUGAGAGGAUGAAAUUUUAACUGUCUCAAUUUAAAAAUAAAAUUUUAUUUUAAGUUAAAAUUCUUAAAUAAGUUUAAGGGACGAGAAGACCCUAUAGAAUUUUAAAAUUUGUAUUAAUUUAUAUUUUAAUAUUUUAUUUAAUUUAAUUAAAGAUUUUUUUAUUGGGAUGAUAUUAAAAUUUAAAAAACUUUUAAUUAUUUAAUUCAAUAAUUAAUGAAUUAAGGGAAAUUUUAAUUAAUAAAAGAUAAAAUUACCUUAGGGAUAACAGCGUAAUAAAUUUUUAAAGUUCAAAUUAAAAAAUUUGAUUGCGACCUCGAUGUUGAAUUAAAAUAAAAUUUAAGUGAAGAAGCUUAAAAUUUAAGUCUGUUCGACUUUUAAAAUUUUACAUGAUUUG